AUUGAACGCUGGCGGCAGGCCUAACACAUGCAAGUCGAACGGUAACAGGAAGAAGCUUGCUUCUUUGCUGACGAGUGGCGGACGGGUGAGUAAUGUCUGGGAAACUGCCUGAUGGAGGGGGAUAACUACUGGAAACGGUAGCUAAUACCGCAUAACGUCGCAAGACCAAAGAGGGGGACCUUCGGGCCUCUUGCCAUCGGAUGUGCCCAGAUGGGAUUAGCUAGUAGGUGGGGUAACGGCUCACCUAGGCGACGAUCCCUAGCUGGUCUGAGAGGAUGACCAGCCACACUGUAACUGAGACACGGUCCAGACUCCUACGGGAGGCAGCAGUGGGGAAUAUUGCACAAUGGGCGCGAGCCUGAUGCAGCCAUGCCGCGUGUAUGAAGAAGGCCUUCGGGUUGUAAAGUACUUUCAGCGGGGAGGAAGUGAGUAAAGUUAAUACCUUUGCUCAUUGACGUUACCCGCAGAAGAAGCACCGGCUAACUCCGUG
Molecule: ribosomal RNA, 490 nt
Filed under: uncultured bacterium
Lineage: Bacteria
Description: partial 16S ribosomal RNA
Rfam family: Bacterial small subunit ribosomal RNA
Source: RNAcentral